Molecule: ribosomal RNA, 504 nt
Filed under: uncultured bacterium
Lineage: Bacteria
Description: partial 16S ribosomal RNA
Rfam family: Bacterial small subunit ribosomal RNA
Source: RNAcentral
AUUGAACGCUGGCGGCAGGCCUAACACAUGCAAGUCGAACGGUAGCACAGAGAGCUUGCUCUCGGGUGACGAGUGGCGGACGGGUGAGUAAUGUCUGGGAAACUGCCUGAUGGAGGGGGAUAACUACUGGAAACGGUAGCUAAUACCGCAUAAUGUCGCAAGACCAAAGAGGGGGACCUUCGGGCCUCUCGCCAUCAGAUGUGCCCAGAUGGGAUUAGCUAGUAGGUGGGGUAAUGGCUCACCUAGGCGACGAUCCCUAGCUGGUCUGAGAGGAUGACCAGCCACACUGGAACUGAGACACGGUCCAGACUCCUACGGGAGGCAGCAGUGGGGAAUAUUGCACAAUGGGCGCAAGCCUGAUGCAGCCAUGCCGCGUGUAUGAGGAAGGCCUUCGGGUUGUAAAGUACUUUCAGCGGGGAGGAAGGUGUUGUGGUUAAUAACCGCAGCAAUUGACGUUACCCGCAGAAGAAGCACCGGCUAACUCCGUGCCAGCCGCCGCCGUAA